UAGGGAAUCUUCCACAAUGGACGCAAGUCUGAUGGAGCAACGCCGCGUGAGUGAAGAAGGCUUUCGGGUCGUAAAACUCUGUUAUUGAAGAAGAACGUGUGUGACAGUAACUGGUCAUGCAGUGACGGUAUUCAAUCAGAAAGUCACGGCUAACUACGUGCCAGCAGCCGCGGUAAUACGUAGGCGGCAAGCGUUGUCCGGAUUUAUUGGGCGUAAAGCGAGUGCAGGCGGUCUUUUAAGUCUGAUGUGAAAGCCUUCGGCUUAACCGAAGAAGGGCAUCGGAAACUGGGAGACUUGAGUGCAGAAGAGGAGAGUGGAACUCCAUGUGUAGCGGUGAAAUGCGUAGAUAUAUGGAAGAACACCAGUGGCGAAGGCGGCUCUCUGGUCUGUAACUGACGCUGAGGCUCGAAAGCGUGGGUAGCAAACAGGAUUAGAUACCC
This 440-nucleotide ribosomal RNA is filed under the name uncultured bacterium. RNAcentral's name for it is "partial 16S ribosomal RNA". It matches the Rfam family "Bacterial small subunit ribosomal RNA", at positions 355 to 787 of the family's 1533-position model. The record is from RNAcentral.